CGAAUUCCCCCUUAGAGUUUGAUCCUGGCUCAGAUUGAACGCUGGCGGCAUGCUUUACACAUGCAAGUCGAGCGGCAGCGCGGGGGCAACCCUGGCGGCGAGCGGCGAACGGGUGAGUAACACAUCGGAACGUGUCCUGGGGUGGGGGAUAACCUGGCGAAAGCCAGGCUAAUACCGCAUGGGCUCGGGAGAGCAAAGCGGGGGACUCGUAAGGGCCUCGCGCCUUUGGAGCGGCCGAUGUCCGAUUAGCUAGUUGGUGGGGUAAAGGCUCACCAAGGCGACGAUCGGUAGCUGGUCUGAGAGGAUGAUCAGCCACACUGGGACUGAGACACGGCCCAGACUCCUACGGGAGGCAGCAGUGGGGAAUUUUGGACAAUGGGGGCAACCCUGAUCCAGCCAUGCCGCGUGAGUGAAGAAGGCCUUCGGGUUGUAAAGCUCUUUCGGUGGGAACGAAACGGGCGCGGCUAACACCUGCGCUCAAUGACGGUACUCACAGAAGAAGCACCGGCUAACUACGUGCCAGCAGCCGCGGUAAUACGUAGGGUGCGAGCGUUAAUCGGAAUUACUGGGCGUAAAGCGUGCGCAGGCGGUGCGCCAAGCUCGAUGUGAAAGCCCCGGGCUUAACCUGGGAAUUGCAUUGAGGACUGGCGUGCUCGAGUGCGGCAGAGGGGGGUGGAAUUCCACGUGUAGCAGUGAAAUGCGUAGAGAUGUGGAGGAACACCGAUGGCGAAGGCAGCCCCCUGGGCCGACACUGACGCUCAUGCACGAAAGCGUGGGGAGCAAACAGGAUUAGAUACCCU
RNAcentral lists this ribosomal RNA (800 nucleotides) under uncultured bacterium. Its description in RNAcentral is "bacterial SSU rRNA". It matches the Rfam family "Bacterial small subunit ribosomal RNA", at positions 1 to 788 of the family's 1533-position model. The record is from RNAcentral.